UACGGAGGAGCUAGCGUUGUUCGGAAUUACUGGGCGUAAAGCGCACGUAGGCGGCUUUUUAAGUCAGGGGUGAAAUCCCGGGGCUCAACCCCGGAACUGCCCUUGAAACUGGAGAGCUAGAAUCUUGGAGAGGCGAGUGGAAUUCCGAGUGUAGAGGUGAAAUUCGUAGAUAUUCGGAAGAACACCAGUGGCGAAGGCGACUCGCUGGACAAGUAUUGACGCUGAGGUGCGAAAGCGUGGGGAGCAAACAGG
This 252-nucleotide ribosomal RNA is filed under the name uncultured bacterium. RNAcentral's name for it is "partial 16S ribosomal RNA". It matches the Rfam family "Bacterial small subunit ribosomal RNA", at positions 524 to 776 of the family's 1533-position model. The record is from RNAcentral.